UCUAGCAGCAGACCUGGCGGUGCGACGCCGUCAAGCACCAGCCGAGCACCACCGCGCGGUGCUCCACCACCGUACGGUGCACGCCCACGCCACAAAUCCGUUCUUGGCCCCGCUCUCCGAAAUCCGUUGCUGCUGUUAUCCGUCCCGCUCCCAGAUGGAUUCCUGAGUCCCCAAAAAUUGGUGUUCUGUUAUCUAUCUAUUUACUGAUUUGUAUCUUUCCUUCUCUCGUCUGCGUGUGAUGGCCAGGUAUUGCUGCUGCCAGUGAGGGAUGCAAGAAUCUGCGUGCCAAUACUGUAAAAGGAAGAGUUCUACAAGAACAAGAAGGAAGGAUUGUAUUUUCUUCUCCAUUGCCCGUGAAGGCAAAAUUUGGGAAAACAGGGCCAGAUGUUGGUGCUUGGGGUCAGAUGGUGCAUCGAUUGUGGGUAUAAUAUGGUGCAUCGAUUGUGGAAAUAGUAUCCAUGAAGUUUAUUCAAGAGAGCGACUAUUUUUUUAUACUGGAUGAGAACGCUUCCAUCAUAGGCUCCAUCUCAUCCGGUCUAUGUCUUCGAGACGGUCUAUUUUCAACAUUUAUACAAAGAAGAUCUGGCACCAGAGAUUCACCAUCGGGAUUAACACAUUGCUUCGAUGACGAUACUAUCUCAAGAUGCAUUAUUAACGAGCUUUCCACUGACACCAUAUUUGUUUCAGGGAUUUCCUUCCCCUGGUAUACCAAUGACGGAUCAUAAGGAUAGUGGUCAGGAUAGAUGGGAAAUCAAGCACCACAGCUCACGUCAGUUCAAAUCAUGUUAUUUAUGUGGAGUAUCAGCUGAUUGCUGGACUCCAAGCUAUUUUUCUUAAGUUUUCAUUUGCUGACAUGAUUUUCUUUAGAAUAUGCCUAUUGUUAAAGGUCUGAACAAAAAAACUCAACACGUUUGGGACCCUUAAUCACAAAAAUCAGCUUUUUUUUCACUCUC
Molecule: long non-coding RNA, 953 nt
Organism: Triticum dicoccoides
Lineage: Eukaryota; Viridiplantae; Streptophyta; Magnoliopsida; Poales; Poaceae
Exons: 4
Source: RefSeq, a predicted model, not a curated record